UUCUUCAGGGCAGGGUGCGAUCCCCGACCGGCGGUAAAGUCCGCGAGCGCAAGCUGAACCGGUGAAACUCCGGUACCGACAGUAUAGUCUGGAUGAAAGAAGAA
This 104-nucleotide non-coding RNA is filed under the name bovine gut metagenome. Its description in RNAcentral is "FMN riboswitch (RFN element)". It matches the Rfam family "FMN riboswitch aptamer (RFN element)". From Rfam's summary of the family: The RFN element is a highly conserved domain that is found frequently in the 5'-untranslated regions of prokaryotic mRNAs that encode for flavin mononucleotide (FMN) biosynthesis and transport proteins. This element is a metabolite-dependent riboswitch that directly binds FMN in the absence of proteins. The record is from RNAcentral.